ACGGGUGAGUAAUGUCUGGGAAACUGCCUGAUGGAGGGGGAUAACUACUGGAAACGGUAGCUAAUACCGCAUAACGUCGCAAGACCAAAGAGGGGGACCUUCGGGCCUCUUGCCAUCGGAUGUGCCCAGAUGGGAUUAGCUAAUAGGUGGGGUAACGGCUCACCUAGGCGACGAUCCCUAGCUGGUCUGAGAGGAUGACCAGCCACACUGGAACUGAGACACGGUCCAG
RNAcentral lists this ribosomal RNA (229 nucleotides) under uncultured bacterium. Its description in RNAcentral is "partial 16S ribosomal RNA". It matches the Rfam family "Bacterial small subunit ribosomal RNA", at positions 102 to 334 of the family's 1533-position model. The record is from RNAcentral.